AGUGAACGCUGGCGGUAGGCCUAACACAUGCAAGUCGAACGGCAGCACAGUAAGAGCUUGCUCUUACGGGUGGCGAGUGGCGGACGGGUGAGGAAUACAUCGGAAUCUACUUUUUCGUGGGGGAUAACGUAGUGAAACUUACGCUAAUACCGCAUACGACCUACGGGUUAAAGCAGGGGAUCUUCCGACCUUGCGCGAUUGAAUGAGCCGAUGUCGGAUUAGCUAGUUGGCGGGGUAAAGGCCCACCAAGGCGACGAUCCGUAGCUGGUCUGAGAGGAUGAUCAGCCACACUGGAACUGAGACACGGUCCAGACUCCUACGGGAGGCAGCAGUGGGGAAUAUUGGACAAAGGGCGCAAGCCUGAUCCAGCCAUACCGCGUGGGUGAAGAAGGCCUUCGGGUUGUAAAGCCCUUUUGUUGGGAAAGAAAAGCAGCAGGUUAAUACCCCGCUGUUCUGACGGUACCCAAAGAAUAAGCACCGGCUAACUUCGUG
RNAcentral lists this ribosomal RNA (492 nucleotides) under uncultured bacterium. RNAcentral describes it as "partial 16S ribosomal RNA". It matches the Rfam family "Bacterial small subunit ribosomal RNA", at positions 29 to 507 of the family's 1533-position model. The record is from RNAcentral.